This is a long non-coding RNA of Sinocyclocheilus anshuiensis, 845 nucleotides long. RefSeq lists it as uncharacterized. The transcript has 4 exons. Lineage: Eukaryota; Metazoa; Chordata; Actinopteri; Cypriniformes; Cyprinidae. The record is from RefSeq and is a predicted model, not a curated record.
GUCUGCUUACUACGCGCCGGAGAACACGUAGCCUAGUCCCAGUACGUAAGAAGAAAAAAUGGCAUGCGGUUACUAAACUAUAAACAGACAGAGAUUCAGUUCUUGAUCACGUUAUGGGACGUCCCAAGUUAACUCCUAUUUAAGAAACGAAAGAAGUAGAGGAGAGAGAUGAAGAGGAGGAGGAGGGAGGAAGAUUCACAAGCCAGUGGAUCAAAACCAGCAAAUGCGGAGAAACUUGUUAAAUGGAACAGUAUGCGUGAUCUGAAACCAGACUUCUCUCAUGAUGCAGAAAAACCUGAGAGUCAUUCUGAUGUAUCUCAAUCAAAGACGAGUGUCCUCCAGCAGAUCAUCUGAACACCAACAAGACAAACCUCUAUGAAUCUCUCACGUUUCUUCAAAUGGAGCUGAAGUAGUUCAUUGGGCCUGGGCCCGGCUCCAUCCAAUCAGGAGCUUGGUCCACACCCUGGUCCCACGCCUAAUAACAACCGGCUGCAAAAAUGCUGCACUGUUCAAUUCAGCUCCAGAUUUUGAGGGAGAUUUAGCUCUUUGGCAGCUUGGUAUGAAAACCCCACUUGUUAUUUAGAAAGUAGAGAGAAUGUAAGUCUUUAAGGGAAUUUUCUGUAUUGAUUUUUUACAGGUGUACUUGGAAUUUUGCAUUUCAUUGCAUUGUCUUUUAGGGUUGUCCGUAGAAUUAAUGGAUAAUGUCCUGGCACAAGGAUUUUUUUUUUUAAACAGUACUUGCUGUUUUCUCUGCGCACACAGAGAGCACAUAUCAGACAUUACUGAACUGAAUUCACUUUCGGGUCUCAUCAUGCUUAGACAUAUACAACCAAAAUUAAGUGAAA